RNAcentral lists this ribosomal RNA (414 nucleotides) under uncultured bacterium. RNAcentral describes it as "bacterial SSU rRNA". It matches the Rfam family "Bacterial small subunit ribosomal RNA", at positions 917 to 1333 of the family's 1533-position model. The record is from RNAcentral.
GGGCCCGCACAAGCGGUGGAGCAUGUGGUUUAAUUCGAUGAUACGCGAGGAACCUUACCAGGGCUUAAAUGUAGUGGGACAGGUCUAGAGAUAGACCCUUCUUCGGACUCAUUACAAGGUGCUGCAUGGUUGUCGUCAGCUCGUGCCGUGAGGUGUCAGGUUAAGUCCUAUAACGAGCGCAACCCCUGUUGUUAGUUGCCAGCGAUUCAAGUCGGGAACUCUAACAAGACUGCCGGUGCAAACCGUGAGGAAGGUGGGGAUGACGUCAAAUCAUCACGGCCCUUACGUCCUGGGCUACACACGUGCUACAAUGGCCGGUACAGAGAGCAGCCACUUCGCAAGAAGGAGCGAAUCUAUUAAAACCGGUCUCAGUUCGGAUCGGAGUCUGCAACUCGACUCCGUGAAGCUGGAAUC